CCANUCGCGAAGCCAGGCACCGAGCCGCACGCUAUCUNGCCCGCCGGGCGGGUCAACUGCGUCGAUCCAGNUCACUNCACCACUAAUCANACGACUGCGCCCCUAGGAGGGGAGGAUACCCCACNACUGNGAANNCUCAAACUACACNCCGACACUCGAGCNGCGAUCCGCACAACAGCUGACGAACNCAUCACAUCAAACAACANCAGCGUACGAGACGCGNACAUACAGAGCACGACACUCCACCGCUAGCGGCGAGACACGAAGACGCAGCAAGUCGAUAAAGACAGCCGACCCGCUGCGACGCAAGACGNCAUACGCGAAUACGCAGCGCUAAGAGACGAACUAGCGCAGCAGAGACAAGACGNGAGAUANAGGAACGNGAGAAGAGCUACGGCUCGACGAGA
Molecule: ribosomal RNA, 407 nt
Filed under: uncultured bacterium
Lineage: Bacteria
Description: partial 16S ribosomal RNA
Source: RNAcentral